GCCUACGGGACGCAGCAGUGGGGGAUAUUGCACAAUGGGGGAAACCCUGAUGCAGCGACGCCGCGUGAGUGAAGAAGUAUUUCGGUACGUAAAGCUCUAUCAGCAGGGAAGAAUAAUGACGGUACCAGACUAAGAAGCCCCGGCUAACUACGUGCCAGCAGCCGCGGUAAUACGUAGGGGGCAAGCGUUAUCCGGAUUUACUGGGUGUAAAGGGAGCGCAGACGGCUGUGCAAGUCUGGAGUGAAAGGCGGGGGCCCAACCCCCGGACUGCUCUGGAAACUGUAAAGCUGGAGUGCAGGAGAGGG
RNAcentral lists this ribosomal RNA (305 nucleotides) under uncultured bacterium. Its description in RNAcentral is "bacterial SSU rRNA". It matches the Rfam family "Bacterial small subunit ribosomal RNA", at positions 337 to 658 of the family's 1533-position model. The record is from RNAcentral.